Molecule: long non-coding RNA, 1064 nt
Organism: Penaeus chinensis
Lineage: Eukaryota; Metazoa; Arthropoda; Malacostraca; Decapoda; Penaeidae
Exons: 3
Source: RefSeq, a predicted model, not a curated record
CACGUAGAGGAAAAACUAGCAUUGCUCUGCACAAAAAAGUUACGAUAUGGAGCUAAAGCCAAUACCAAAGGUAGCGCUCGAGACAACAAAAGUCUACGGAAGUUAAACGCUGUCCGUCAGUAAUAAACAUUUCGUCGUUUACUUUUCCCUGAAUUAUUAAUUGAUCCUUGUAAGUAAGCACGAACCAUGGACAUCGCUGCAUCUACAGAAAGCCAACACACCAAAGAACUCCAAGUUUUGGAUUAUGAGCUUCAACAUUUGCAAGAUAACCGAAAGCUGUACCUAAAUCAGCCCAACAGUAAUCUGUAUUUCCUCUGCAAUAAGGCUGAAGCUCUCAGCCACUUGGAAAAGCAAAAGGAAAAGCUUUCAGAAAUGAAAAAGAAAACAUAGGAUAAUUUUUUUUCUUCUUUAAAUCAAACCUCAUGUAGAUAAUACAUUCACUAGCAAAUCUUGUGUAUGUUCAUGAUAUUCAAGAAGCAUUUUUAUUUAUAAGUGUAUUCCUUGCUUUCUCUCUCUCUCUUUUUCUUUUUCUUUUGUCAAUUGGAGUGGGAGAACAAUUUUGUAACUAGUGUACAAGUAAAUUAGUGUGUUGACAUCAAAUUUCAGGCUAAUUUUGAAAUUCUUUAAUUAUUUCAUACAUAUUUGUACUAACUGUUUUAAAACUUGGUGUAUGCUGAGAAUAAAUGUAGUGAGUUAUAAUUCAUUUCAUUGCUUAUAUGCUUUUAGAUAUGUAUAUCUGUAUUCCUUCAUAUUGUUACAUAUGGAUAUGUUUGAAGCUGAGUAUAUGUCAGUAGUCUUCAGAGUAUUUUUAAAUUGAUGCCUCUCAAGUUAUAGGUAUUGUAAAAUCAGCAGGGAAAUUUUAAUUAUUGUUCUGAAAUAAUAGCAAGUUUUGUUCAAAAUCAGAACCUAAAAUGAGAUUGGGUAAUCAUAUCAUAUGUAUUUUGUUAAUGAUUUUGUGUAUGAAAUAAGAUAUAUGGUGUUCCCCAAAUUGCCAAAGAAUUUUGUUCAAAGCUUAGACAUGGAUAUCAAAAUAAAUGUCUUGAAGGCAUUUCUUCGAAUUCUUU